Long non-coding RNA from Canis lupus familiaris (dog), 2881 nucleotides. RefSeq lists it as uncharacterized. NCBI's taxonomy places the organism in Eukaryota, Metazoa, Chordata, Mammalia, Carnivora, Canidae. The transcript has 5 exons. The record is from RefSeq and is a predicted model, not a curated record.
UGGACUUUCUGGGGUCGAAUUGCCACUACAUGUGUUACACUGUCAAUCCAUCUCACGGACAUCCUGAUGCCUCUCUGACUGGGUUGGAGCCAAAGGCAACUAUUGAGAAAACUGGAAGAUGAAAUAUUCUUAAAGACAAUGGAGGCUAAAAAAAAAAAAAAAGACAAUGGAAGCUAAGCAAACAAGUGACACCACAGGCACACAGGACAGCCAAAGAAACAGGGACGCAGAGAACAAAACAGUCAAUGAUUUCUCCAGUGGGAGAAGAACCUUCUCAAACAGUUUGUCCACCAGGCACAUAUGGGAAGGACUGUAAACAGGUAUGUCAGUGUUCAGCUGAGAAUGAAGAGUGUCACCCAGUCACAGGGAGAUGUACCUGUCUGCCCGGCUGCCAUGGAAACUGCUGUCAUCUCUGGAAGUGUGUUCUGUGCUUUUGUUGUAAUUUAUCGAAGAGACACCGGUAGGGUGGGUCAUCAGUCAGAAUGCUAAAGGGCAAAUGUUAAUUCAAGGUUCUAAUUUAUAGCAAGUCCUGACUGUGAGAAUGUUUAUUGGAAUGGUUGAAAACCAUAUGCUUUCUUGUGUAACGCUUUCUCCUGUGUUGCCUUUUCUAGCCCAAAUAUCCCCAAGAAAAAGACAAGGAAUAGAGAAAGAGAAAGAAAGAAAGAAAGAAGGAAGAUAAUAUGAACUGAUUGUUAUCAAUCAAUAUACAACAGAUGGGAACGUAUUUAAAGUGAUUCAGAAAUUUGUCCCGAGGAUCACUAUGGGCAAGACUGUGUCCAGCAGUGUUCCUGUGGCUCAGGACAGUGUGACCUGGUGACUGGAGGGUGCCAAUGUCCACCUGGCCAAAUGGGAGCCAGGAGUCAGCAAGAAGCCCAUUGAAAGCUGCAAGAAAAAUGGGAGACAGAAAGCAAAACAUGAUCUCUGUUUAAAACUACAAAACUUUCUUGCUCUAAAUCAUAUUAUUAUCACAGUAAUAAUCAUAAUAGAAGAACUCUCAAGUUCAGUGAAAUGAAAUGCAGAAAGCCACUUCUCCAAAGCACACACAGAGACAAAACCAAUGACCUUUUGUUAGAAAAGAAGGGUUGGUAAAAAAAAAAAAAAAAAAAAAAUAGAACGGUUGGUUGCAUGAGCAUCCUGCAGGAGCUACCUUAAACCCUUCUGGACAUCACAAAGUUGCAGGAAAAAUGGGGUAAAACCAGGCAGAGCACAGACCUAUCAUCUUUUCAACCCUACACUAUUAUAGAGGAGAAUUUAUGGGCAAUAAGUAGCCUUGCAGCUAAAGGAAGCUAAGCCUACACAGAAACACACAGACCACAACUUUGUGUCACAUGGAGUUUUACUCUGGGCCUAGGAGGUUCCCAACUAGCUGAAAUAAUUCUUCUAGCCUCAAAUCCAUACUACCUUCUCCAAAAUACCUGGUUCACACAAAACUAACCUGAUACAAGAAGAUGAAAGUGAAAACAAAAACCUGAUGCAUUAAAAAAAAAAAAAACCCUCCUCUCAUUUUGGAAACAAUAUAUGAAACCAUUCAAAGUUUUGGCUACUCUUUUAGUGAAAAUUCUAUAAGAAGGGUAAAGGAGAAAAGGAAUAAGAAAACAAAAAGCAGAUGGACGUAGAGCAGAAAAAUUUUGCUAUGGUGCACAUGGAAAUAUUAACCAGAAUUUCUUCCAAGAAUUCAAUGGACAUAAUGAAAAAGUGUUCUCUACAAAUUGUGAGUGCAAUGCAGAGAUACAAAGGUUCAUGGAAUAAAUGAAAAGACAACAAAGGGAAAUGAAAAAGUAAGCUGGCAGAGCUCAGAAAGAAGUAGAAAUGAAAAUUAAACCUCACAUCAUAUAAAUGAGGACCAUAUUGAACACAGGUAAUAGGAGGAUUGAAUCUGCUUCUGUGACAGCCAGGUAAAUGGAGAAGAAGCUUGAGGAAAGUGGAAACAAAUAGACAAAUAGACAAAUAUAUAAAUGGAAAAGAAAAUAUUCAAAUAAAAUAUUUAAGAUUUUUUUCCUCUGAAAUGAAAGAAGAUCUGAUGCACAGAUUGAAUACAUUCUAUCUCUGGAAACUGUAGUUAAGAUUGAUCAUAAGCAAGGGGAAACUCCACUAGGAAUAAAAGAAAAAAAAAAGUGUGAGAUCUCAUAUAUAGAGAGGGGAAAAAAUCAGUCUGGCUCAUGGCUCACAGCAAUAAUCACAACCAUUGCUAGCAUGUGGUUAAUCAAUGCCUAUGAAGUUCUUGAGAAAAAUUUGACUCAAGUGUUUUAUACACAGUUAAACUAUUAUUCAAGUAUAGUAUGACUGAAAAUAAAUAGCUAUUUUUAAUAAUAAAAAGUUACUGAGGAUAUGUAGCCAUAAAAUAUUUUUGAAGAAACUGUAGAAGAUAAAUUUGAGCAACCAAGCAAUAAAUGGAAAAUCUCUGGUAAAAAGAGUAUCAGUGAGUAUUAAGUCUAUUUUUAUUAGAGCUAAGUUUAAAAUAAAUAUGGGAACUAUGGUCACAUGAUAUAAUAAGUAUACACAUAUUUAAUAUUAUAACAAUUUUGAUAGUUUAGCAAAAUGGACAUAAGUGGAAGGAAGGAGAAGAUGGAAGAGGAAAAGUAUAUUUCUUCAUUAGAAAUUGAAAAGGAGGGACAGAUCUGUGACAAAACAUUUCGUUUAAAUAUGACAACUCAAUAACCAUGUUUAAGUGCAUAAAGCUAAAUGCUGGAAUUUAAAAUGCUGGAGCUGAGAAUUUAAAAAUAAAAACAGCCAACUAAAAUCAGGUAGAGGAGAGGAAUGAGAAAAAUUAGGAAAAAGGAGAAACAUAUCCAUUCCAUUACCACUCAUGCUGCUGAGCCAAUAUAGGCUAAAUAAAGAAAUUAAUUAUGUUAUAUAAUAAUAUGUUCACUGUCUAAAGAAG